GAGUCGUUGGGCGUUACGAAACCCGAAGGCGCAAUGAAAGUGAAGGCCCGGUCUCCGGCCGGCCUGGGUGCGAUCCGGACGGUCACGGCCGUUCGGCGCAGCACCGGCCCGUCUCCAUCGCCACGUCGAGGAGGCGGAGCAAGAGCGUACACGUUGGGACCCGAAAGAUGGUGAACUAUGCCUGAGUAGGACGAAGCCAGAGGAAACUCUGGUGGAGGUCCGUAGCGAUUCUGACGUGCAAAUCGAUCGUCAAACUUGGGUAUAGGGGCGAAAGACUAAUCGAACCAUCUAGUAGCUGGUUCCUGUCGAAGUUUCCCUCAGGAUAGCUGGCGCUCUUCGUGAGCAGUUUUAUCCGGUAAAGCGAAUGACUGGAGGCCUUGGGGACGAAACGUCCUCAACCUACUCUCAAACUUUAAAUGGGUAAGACGUCCGACUCGCUCGAUUGGAGCCGGGCAACGAAUGCGAGUGCCAAGUGGGCCACUUUU
This 485-nucleotide ribosomal RNA is filed under the name Compostelandrilus menciae. Its description in RNAcentral is "eukaryotic LSU rRNA". It matches the Rfam family "Eukaryotic large subunit ribosomal RNA", at positions 688 to 1138 of the family's 3401-position model. Lineage: Eukaryota; Metazoa; Annelida; Clitellata; Crassiclitellata; Lumbricidae. The record is from RNAcentral.